Brassica oleracea var. oleracea is the source of this 424-nucleotide long non-coding RNA. RefSeq lists it as uncharacterized. The transcript is spliced from 3 exons. The record is from RefSeq and is a predicted model, not a curated record. NCBI's taxonomy places the organism in Eukaryota, Viridiplantae, Streptophyta, Magnoliopsida, Brassicales, Brassicaceae.
GAAGAACAUUUGGCUAUGGAGCUAUGUUUCUGCAACUAAAACUAAAAAAUAUAUCUUUCACAGCUCUCUCACUCUGUCGGCGAGAGCGUGCAUAUGCGAGUUUCUUUUGGAAGUGAUCCAAGCCAACAAUCAUGGAUACAAAAUGUUAGAAUCUCUAUCCACUCAGUCAUAAUGAUAUUGGACUCUCCAUUAACACCUAGGAUGUGCACAUUCGGGUGCAAGACAAGUUAAAAAACGAUCAAUGGAAUCGGCGAAAGAGCGGGAACCUUUGCUUUUGAUCAGAACGUUUGUGUACAUUCCAAUAGACGAAUUCGAAGCUGCAACGAUUUCCCCCGUUCAGGAGUUCCCCUCACGGCAGAGCUUCACUUUGGUUGAAGAUGAUCAUCCAUUUUUAACGUGUUGUUGUCGUAUUAUUUACACUCAA